This 253-nucleotide ribosomal RNA is filed under the name uncultured bacterium. RNAcentral describes it as "partial 16S ribosomal RNA". It matches the Rfam family "Bacterial small subunit ribosomal RNA", at positions 524 to 776 of the family's 1533-position model. The record is from RNAcentral.
UACAGAGGGUGCGAGCGUUAAUCGGAAUUACUGGGCGUAAAGCGCGCGUAGGCGGCUUUGCAAGUCGGGUGUGAAAUCCCCAGGCUUAACCUGGGAACUGCAUUCGAGACUGCAUAGCUAGAGUAUGGGAGAGGGAAGUGGAAUUUCAGGUGUAGCGGUGAAAUGCGUAGAUAUCUGAAGGAACAUCAGUGGCGAAAGCGACUUCCUGGACCAAUACUGACGCUCAUGUGCGAAAGCGUGGGGAGCAAACAGG